AAUAGAAAUAUUUUGAAAAAUUGUAAAUAAGGAUAAAAAUAAGAUAUAAAAAAAAAUUUUUGGAACCGCGUGCUUAGUUGCAGUUAUUUGGAAGUUGUGCAUUAGAACAGACGGUAUGUCCGAACUAAAGUUUUUUUUUUGUGAUGCAAUGCAAUGGGUAAAGGUAUGGAGAGAAAAAAGAUCAGUAAACGGUUCGCAUUCAUUUUGAAUAAAGGAACUACUCUCGCUCGAUAAAAAUGAGUAUAACAAUUAUAUAAGAAUGUCAGACAAUCAAUUUGGUUUUAUACUCUCUGCAAUAAAUGAAGAUUUAUUAAAGCAGGAUACUGGGAUGCGUGCAGCAAUUUCUCUAGCGGAAAAACUAUCGCUGACUACGUUUUCUUGCCACAGGUAAUUUUCACUUGAAACUUUGUUGUUAUAAAAUUGGCAUAAUCAAAAUUUAAAAGAAUUCAAUUAUUGUACAUAUUUUAUAGGAGAAACUUUUCAGAGUUUGAACUUUGCUUCAAAAAUUUCAACUUCUGCGUUUAGUGGCAUAAUUCCAGAGGUGUCUGACUCUAUAUGGAUAAGACUAAGAGGAUUAUAUUUAAAGUUACCAAGCAGUUCCUCCGAGUGGGUUUCUGUAGCCAAUGAAUUUGCGAUAAGAUGGCAAUUUUAAUAAAAAUGGAGUUAUUUUUACUUUUUUAUAUUUACAUAAAAAUAUCAAGAUGCGUUAUUUAUAUUUAUUUCUUUUAAUCGCAAAAAAUUUAGUUCGAAUAUACUUUUAUUUAAGACAAGAAAUUUAAUUAAUUUUUGAAUGUUUUGUAAGAAAUAAAAAAAUAUGACGAUGAAAAAAAGUACUUUUUUUCGUCAUACAUAAUAAUGUUAAUCUUUAACACAUUUGUUUGACUUAGGGGAGGGCACAAUAGACCAUAGGUCGCGGUGCAUACCUCAAUCACUAUCUAUCUAACACAUUUGUUCUUGAAAAUAUUAAUAGCGUGUAUUCAAUACAAUUCAAUAGAUUAGGGAAUUCCCGUCAUAAGUUUGGCCUCGAAAGUAAUAUUUGCAGAUGAGAGAAACUUAAUAUUUUUGGAUGUGAUGGCGAAGUAAUUGUGUACAGGAAACUAUAUAUAAGUAAGUACAUUGUAUAAGCUUUUUCCUUCAUUGGCUGUCAUUAUCAUUGAGUUGUGGAAAGAUGGCGACAGUUUCAGAAAAAUUGGACAAACAAUUGGAAGAACAUAUUCCUCCGUCCACCGCGUCCUAAACAAAUUAAAACAAGUAAGAAAGGGCUAAGUUCGGAUGUAACCGAAAAUUUUAUACUCUCGCGCAGCCAAAUCAUAUACUCGUUUCAGAUUUCUUUCCAUACAAUAACCAAAUUCGCUUAAAAAAAUUCUUUAUGAGCCCCUAUCGACAGUGUGAAAAUGGAUGAAGUCAGAUGAUAACCAUUCUUACUUCCCAUAUAACGGGUUCGUUUAAAACUACUAAAUUUGCGAUAAAUCAAUAACUAAAUACGAAAAAGAAAGAUUUGUCGUAAUUUUAUAUUCAAUCAUUCUUGAAAAAAUCCAAAGAAUUUUAAGCAUUAUUUUGUGAAUCUUUCACUGUUAUAGUUGGAGGACUCGACUUAAUUUUAAAAUUGUUUUUGUUUUUGCUCACCCUACGGUCACUUCAUUUUAACUUUAUUACUUUUAUAUGUAAACUGGUAAAUAUAUAAAUUAUCAUUCAUAUAUAUAAAUUAUCAUAAUUCAUUCAAAGUUUUGUGUGGAGUUGUUUUUGUAAAGCUAUACAGCGCCAUCUACUGCUUAUACUGUGUAAUAUUUUUAUUUAGUCAAGCCAUACUCUCUCUGUCCAGUAUGACACUAGAAACAAUAUGGGACACUACUAAGUAUUUAAGUGGCUUGAGACAGAGAACGUAAAUGAAUAUUGAAUGAAUAUUCAUUUACGUUCUCUGCUUGAGACUUUACUUGCUCAAGGAAUUCAUUCAUUCAACACAUUGCCCAUUUUCAAUUUAAUUUUUACGAUUGCAUAUUUUUAGGAGUUGCUUUUUAUCAACGACUUGCUUACUUAACAAUAAAAUCCAAGAACGUGUUACAUAUACUUUUAGCGAAAUCACACUCAUUAAAUUUGCAAUUUAUUUGUGUGACAUUUAAACAAAAUAAUUUAAGUAAAUUGCUAUUGAAAUUUUUACAUUAGUUUAAUAUACCGUGGCGGAGCUGGCAAACCAACCAGUCUGCUGUCAGAAGUUUGUUAGAAAGGUUUAUUUCGCAAGAAAAAGUGCAUGUUCGCGUAUUUCUAUUUUAUUGCUUUAUUACUUUUAAAAUAAAAAUUUCGAAAUCUACCGCAGAUGACAGCAAGAAUAAAAAUGCUUCCAAAAUAUUUCCUCCGAUUUUUGGAGGAAGUUUAUAAAGUCUGAAGGUGGUUUCACCAGACUGCAGUCGUUAUAUUCCGCAUAGAACUCAUAGAAUUAAGAAGUUUUAAAAACUUUGUAUACAUAUUCAUAUACAUAUACUGCAAAUGGGUCUUCAGAGACAUUUUACCGCAGCAAAUUGGCAAGUAUUUCUGGUCACUCGCUAGCGACUGUUUCAGAAUUCCAGAGUUUUUGUGCUGCUAUAGAUGCACCCCAGGACUUCGUGGGCAAUUUUGAGUAAACUAUGUGCUGAUAGCCAAAUAAAAUUAGGCUUUAAACAUCUGUACGCUAGAGGUGACAAGGAGUGAACACCCUGAGCUAUGCUUUUCAAUUCUUUGUUAUAUCUAUUACCGUGACAAUUACGGUUAUUGUUUGACAAACUAAUCCCCAAAAAUGCAGCAAUAUGUGGACACAAUUUGCCUAUUUUCUUUUCCCAAUAAGUAACUGUGUUUUUUUAGGGACUAAAUAUCUUAAUUCUUUAUAUUUUUGUUUUCUUGCACCUAAUUUUUUUUAGGCCAACAAUUUCAUUCCACCAUUUUCUUUUCCUAGGUGUUCUUUUACUUAGGUACGAAUCUGUUUCAUACUUGGAUGCAAAAUAAGCUAACAAAGAGUUUCUAACUAAACCGAUCUUUGAACAUAACGGUCUAAAAUACCGGCUACGACUAUAUCAGUCGGACCUGAAGGAAGGUUCUAAAGUUCCGCUCUAGGUUUUACCAUUCGAACACGUUCCUCAGGUCGAGAGGUAUUUAUAAAUAUUUCUGAAUUACUUCUUCUGAAAGAUGGAGCCCAAUGCAGCAAUAUACUGCUUCUUGUGCAGAUAUUUCUGUGCCUGAUAUAAAUUUCUGACCUAUAUGUUUAAGUUUUAAGUUUUUGCUUAGCAGUAUAAUUUCCAGCAUUUACCUCUGUAAUAGCUUCAGAUAAGAUCCUAGAAAUUCCCCUGUUA
Non-coding RNA from Bactrocera oleae (olive fruit fly), 3320 nucleotides. The record is from RefSeq and is a predicted model, not a curated record. Lineage: Eukaryota; Metazoa; Arthropoda; Insecta; Diptera; Tephritidae.